CAAGUAUGCCAGAUGAUCGCGGGCACCGAACGAAAGAAAGUGUCUGAGGAAAGUCCGGGCUCCGCAGGGCAGGAUGCCGGUUAACGGCCGGUGGAGGCGACUCCAAGGAAAGUGCAACAGAAAAUAACCGCCCUGUUUCAGGGUAAGGGUGAAAAGGCGAGGUAAGAGCUCACCGCUGCCAUGGUAACACGGCAGGCUGUGUAAACCCCAUCCGGAGCAACACCGCAUAAGGAACGCUACGUUUGCCCGACAGUUCCAAAGGUGGCUAAAGAUACGCGGUAACGCGCAUUCGCAGAUAGAUGAUCAUCCAGUACAGAACCCGGCUUAUGACAUACUUGCUCA
RNAcentral lists this RNase P RNA (342 nucleotides) under Clostridia bacterium. RNAcentral describes it as "RNase P RNA component class A". It matches the Rfam family "Bacterial RNase P class A". From Rfam's summary of the family: Ribonuclease P (RNase P) is a ubiquitous endoribonuclease, found in archaea, bacteria and eukarya as well as chloroplasts and mitochondria. Its best characterised activity is the generation of mature 5'-ends of tRNAs by cleaving the 5'-leader elements of precursor-tRNAs. The record is from RNAcentral. Lineage: Bacteria; Bacillati; Bacillota; Clostridia.